RNAcentral lists this ribosomal RNA (434 nucleotides) under uncultured Ruminococcus sp. RNAcentral describes it as "partial 16S ribosomal RNA". It matches the Rfam family "Bacterial small subunit ribosomal RNA", at positions 341 to 792 of the family's 1533-position model. The record is from RNAcentral. Lineage: Bacteria; Bacillati; Bacillota; Clostridia; Eubacteriales; Oscillospiraceae.
ACGGGAGGCAGCAGUGGGGAAUAUUGCACAAUGGGCGCAAGCCUGAUGCAGCGAUGCCGCGUGAGGGAAGAAGGUUUUCGGAUUGUAAACCUCUGUCAUCGGGGACGAUAAUGACUGUACCCGAGAAGGAAGCUCCGGCUAACUACGUGCCAGCAGCCGCGGUAAUACGUAGGGAGCGAGCGUUAUCCGGAAUUACUGGGUGUAAAGGGAGUGUAGGCGGGACUGUAAGUCAGAUGUGAAAUAUGCCGGCUCAACGGGCAGACUGCAUGUGAAACUGCGGUUCUUGAGUGAAGUAGAGGGAAGCGGAAUUCCUAGGGUGGCGGUGAAAUGCGUAGAUAUUAGGAGGAACAUCAGUGGCGAAGGCGGCUUACUGGGCUUUAACUGCCGCUGAGGCUCGAAAGCGUGGGGAGCAAACGGGAUUAGAUACCCGGGUA